Long non-coding RNA from Priapulus caudatus, 423 nucleotides. RefSeq lists it as uncharacterized. The transcript is spliced from 3 exons. Lineage: Eukaryota; Metazoa; Priapulida; Priapulimorpha; Priapulimorphida; Priapulidae. The record is from RefSeq and is a predicted model, not a curated record.
GUCGAUUUUUGAUCAUUUGAACACCUUGAAUGUAGAGAAACACCAUUGCGAGUACCAGUACCACUACCAGUACCGACGAUUGACGAUUUUCCUCAACUUGGCAUCAAUAUCGAACGCAAGCAGUGGACAGGGGAUCUUUUCAGUGAAGUUUGUGACUAGCAGCGAAGAGAGCAGAUUACCAUUUGAUACGGAAAAGCAGAAAACCACAGAGAACGACUCCAAUAUGCAACAUUAAAGAAGUGGAACAAAGAAAAGCGAAGAUGCCCAUGAAGACGAAAGUGACUACAUUCAAGCCAAGGAAGAAUGUAGAAGUGGAUUUCACUAGUAAUAAUCGGUAAGAUUUCUGUGAUAUACUGUAUCUAAUGCCAAGUUCUACUGUGAUUUUAUUUUUUACCUCCGCCCAACGGAGUUGGAGGAGGUUAU